GAUGAACGCUGGCGGCGUGCCUAAUACAUGCAAGUCGAGCGAACAGACGAGGAGCUUGCUCCUCUGACGUUAGCGGCGGACGGGUGAGUAACACGUGGAUAACCUACCUAUAAGACUGGGAUAACUUCGGGAAACCGGAGCUAAUACCGGAUAAUAUAUUGAACCGCAUGGUUCAAUAGUGAAAGACGGUUUUGCUGUCACUUAUAGAUGGAUCCGCGCCGCAUUAGCUAGUUGGUAAGGUAACGGCUUACCAAGGCAACGAUGCGUAGCCGACCUGAGAGGGUGAUCAGCCCCACUGGAACUGAGACACGGUCCAGACUCCUACGGGAGGCAGCAGUAGGGAAUCUUCCGCAAUGGGCGAAAGCCUGACGGAGCAACGCCGCGUGAGUGAUGAAGGUCUUCGGAUCGUAAGACUCUGUUAUUAGGGAAGAACAAAUGUGUAAGUAACUAUGCACGUCUUGACGGUACCUAAUCAGAAAGCCACGGCUAACUACGUG
Molecule: ribosomal RNA, 497 nt
Filed under: uncultured bacterium
Lineage: Bacteria
Description: partial 16S ribosomal RNA
Rfam family: Bacterial small subunit ribosomal RNA
Source: RNAcentral